UCGUAACAAAAUGUGCUAGGCCAUGCUCCGGCUGUCGCUGACUCGAAAGGUCGUGCACGCGGGAGCGUGUCCUCUCACAUAACACAAUCCAUCUCACCCUUUGUGCACCACCGCGUGGGCCCCCUUUGGGGGGCUCGCGUUUUCACACAAAACACCCCCCUUUAAAAGUGUAGAAUGACCUCUUUUAUGAAAUCAAUA
This 198-nucleotide unclassified non-coding RNA is filed under the name uncultured Lactarius. RNAcentral's name for it is "sequence contains ITS1". Lineage: Eukaryota; Fungi; Basidiomycota; Agaricomycetes; Russulales; Russulaceae. The record is from RNAcentral.